This is a regulatory RNA element of Williamsia sp. Leaf354, 76 nucleotides long. It matches the Rfam family "Actino-pnp RNA". NCBI's taxonomy places the organism in Bacteria, Bacillati, Actinomycetota, Actinomycetes, Mycobacteriales, Nocardiaceae. The record is from Rfam.
AUCGGUCUUCGGUAGUGGCUGCCGGAAUCCGCGGAACUGUUCCGCAGGGUUCCGACCGCUUCGAUCGACGGCCGUC